This 291-nucleotide ribosomal RNA is filed under the name uncultured soil bacterium. RNAcentral describes it as "partial 16S ribosomal RNA". It matches the Rfam family "Bacterial small subunit ribosomal RNA", at positions 26 to 312 of the family's 1533-position model. The record is from RNAcentral.
AGAGUGAACGCUGGCGGUAGGCCUAACACAUGCAAGUCGAACGGCGGCACAGUGGUAGCAAUACCAUGGGUGGCGAGUGGCGGACGGGUGAGGAAUACAUCGGAAUCUACCUUUUCGUGGGGGAUAACGGUAGGGAAACUUACGCUAAUACCGCAUACGCCCUUUGGGGGAAAGCCGGGGAUCGCAAGACCUGGCGCGGAUAGAUGAGCCGAUGUCGGAUUAGCUAGUUGGUGAGGUAAUGGCUCACCAAGGCGACGAUCCGUAGCUGGUCUGAGAGGAUGAUCAGCCACA